Molecule: ribosomal RNA, 414 nt
Filed under: uncultured bacterium
Lineage: Bacteria
Description: bacterial SSU rRNA
Rfam family: Bacterial small subunit ribosomal RNA
Source: RNAcentral
UGGGGAAUAUUGGACAAUGGGCGAAAGCCUGAUCCAGCAAUGCCGCGUGGGUGAAGAAGGUCUUCGGAUUGUAAAGCCCUUUCGACAGGGACGAUGAUGACGGUACCUGUAGAAGAAGCCCCGGCUAACUUCGUGCCAGCAGCCGCGGUAAUACGAAGGGGGCUAGCGUUGUUCGGAAUCACUGGGCGUAAAGCGCACGUAGGCGGAUGUGCCAGUCAGGGGUGAAAUCCCGGAGCUCAACUUCGGAACUGCCUUUGAUACUGAAGAUCUUGAGUCCGGGAGAGGUGAGUGGAACUGCGAGUGUAGAGGUGAAAUUCGUAGAUAUUCGGAGGAACACCAGUGGCGAAGGCGGCUCACUGGCUCGAUACUGACGCUGAGGUGCGAAAGCGUGGGGAGCAAACAGGAUUAGAUACC